GCAAAGAAGACACAAGAAACAGACCUAUGGAAGAUGAAGUACGUGGAGCUAAGUCUCAAGGAUUAAUUUGCAUGUCAUAAAUUAAGCUCUUCCUUUGUUUCUGUUUAAUCUUGUCUCCUCCAUAUGAUGAGAGUGUUGAUAAUUUGCAGAUUCAAGACACAAUAACAAACCUAUGGUUGAAGUCGCAGGAGCUCCUUCCAUGCCGAAGAACACCGUAGAUGCUGGUCCACGUGAGAGGGCAAUUCUCUAUCGAUCCUGAUCUAUUCUCGUGUGAUCCACAAUGGAGUAGAUAGAUAGGAGAAAGGAUGUUGGCGAUUUUGGCGGCAAUCUGUUGAUACGCGCGAGAAAGAAAGGCAGUUUUACUGAUUUUAUGUAAUUAGAGAGAUACGGGCUGGUUGUUUUAGUGAUGGGGUCCACCAGGCCACGUGUUGGCCGCUGGUUGGCCCUGCACGAUAGUGUGUGCAGGGAUCCCAGCAGGAGAUCCCAUCCGAAAAAUUCACACCAGAAGAUUGCUAUCCUGCGAGAGUGAGAGGGAGACAGAUCCAGGCGAAGAAGAUCAGCUUCUCGAAGGAGUUGUGGCGGGGCGGUGCUGUUCGGGCGACCUACGCUGAGGUGGUCAAGGGCAUGGCAGGCAACAGGGGUGGGGGUCACCGUGGUGGAGGAGGUGGUACUGGCCGUGGAGAGGGGCCUCGCCCGAGCGGUCAGGUACACACUCAAAACCCUGGUCAGAUCCCGAGCCAAUCUGGUGACCUGAAUCCACAAGGGCCGCCACCGUUGCAGCAGAUGCAUCCAGGUAACUUCCAAAAUAUGCAACAAUUUGGGGGAGCUAGCAACUUACAAGGGAUGCCUCCUUGGCAUGGGAUGCAAUUUCCUCAGUUCAAUUAGUGGCCUCAGCAAUACUUGCCUGGUUUGCCUAGCUUGCCUGUGAUACACCAACAACAACAGCAGAUGCCAAUUAUGCACCAUCAGCAGCAGCAGAUGCAGUUUGGUCACGCCCCAGAGCAAAUGCAACCUGGUAAUCAGAUGCAAGGAUUUGGAGAGGGGCAGUCUAGCACUCACCAGCAGAUUUCUCAAAACCAAGAGAAGAGGAAAAGCAAGAGCUUCUCCCAGAAAGAGGUGCAAAGGAAAUCUGGAGAUGACAAGUCUGAAAGCUCUCAGAGCAGGAAUGAGGAAGUGGUGGUCAACUAUGAUCCAAAAAUGAGAGAUGUUAUAUGCUAUAACUGUGGAGAACCAGCACACUUUGUGGGAACAUGUCCAGUGCCCAAAAAGUGUUUCAUCUGUCACAAACCAGGGCACCAUAUGGACAACUGUUCGGAAUGGUACAAACCGCAAGCUACUGCUCAAUACUUUGGCAGUGCUAAUGCAGGGCUAGGUUUCUUUCACAUUGAAUCAGAUGGCAAAGAGGCUGUUAAAUGGCUAAAUAUGUCCAAUGUUUGUGUGGCUGUUAUUGAAGAAGGGUCCAUCACAACACAAGAGCUGAAGAACAAUUUCUCUGAGAUAUGGAAAACUAACUGGCCAUGGCAGGUGAGGCAGUUGACUGAGAAGAGGUUCCUAGUUAGGUUCCCACCUCACCAAAAGGUAAAAGAUUUGGUAGAGCUACCCUCCAUUAGUCUCAGAAAGAAAGGGGUGACAGUUUCUUUUGAUAAGUGGGAUGGAGAGGAGGUGGCCUAUGCUGAAUUGCAAGAGGUGUGGGUAACCAUGAUUCGGAUCCCUGUCAACAAACUCACUUGGAAAGUAAUCUCUCAGAUCACUUACAUCUUGGGGGUCUUGAUUAAUGUGGACUGGCAUGAGAUAUUUAGAAGUUUCUAUGAAAAGGUUAAAGUGCAGGUGGCUGUAAGGGACAUAUCAAAGAUCCCUACAGAAAGGCUGGUAGAGAUUGACAAGGAACUGUUUCUUAUUUGUUUCCUUGUUGACAUAGCUCCAGUUGCUGGAAGUGUGAACCCAAGUAAUAGUGGUGAAGAAAAAUCAGAUGAUGACCUGUUGGAGGGGAGUCCUGAAAGAGACAUGCAAAUGCAAGGCCCCAAAGACAUGGAAACUGACAAGAGCAAAAACCCCAAGUCUGGGGGCCCACCCCAAAAUUCACAAAAAGGUCCCACUAAGUCCAAGACCCCUGUGGAACUGGUGAAUUCACUAGAAAAAAGGGUGCAAAGUGCAAUACUGAGUCUGCAAAAUGACUCUCACAUGAAGAAGACUGUGGAGAAGAAAAACCCUGAAGACAACAUUGCUAUUCAACUGCUGGACCAAUUUGAUGAAGAGUCUGAUGGAGAUGGGGCCACUUUGGAGGUGCCAAAACCACAAAAGCACAAAUGGUGGCCUGUGGUGGCACCUAGAGUGAGCACGGAAUCAAAAGAGAUGGGAGGAAUGCUAUUCAAAAGGCUGAAGACCUCAGAAAGCUAAAAGAUCUAGAAGUUCCUAAAGGUGGUGCUGGGGAGAAUUGCAGGAUACUGCAACUCCUGGAAGAUCCUAUGCAAAGGAAAUGUAAAAGAGCGCGUGGAAAUGUUCACUGCGGCUAUAUGGGAGGAGGCAAGAAAACCACCGCUGCUGCUCUGGCCAGAGCCAGGCUGAAGAAGAACGAGCUCUGGCGGCUGUACUCUCUGCAAGAGAUGGGUGGCUUGGUGGGCAUGGAGGAGAGCCCGUUCCAUGGAGAGCUGAUGUGGCCUCCUGUCUCAUCUUAAAAUGUCGAGUAGCUAGUUUAUGUUUUAGCGUGUUUUAUCCAAACUGUUGCUUUAUUGCCUAGGUUCGGCGUUGCUGUUUUGCUCUGCAAAAAUGUUGCCGGAGAGAUACUCAAUCUCCUCCCGCGGUCUGUAAUAUGUUGUACUCGGUGUGUUUCAUUUUCUAUGGAAAUGGAACAGGGGCGGGGCUGCCCUUUUCUUCUAAAAAAAAAUAUAGUGUGA
This 2894-nucleotide ribosomal RNA is filed under the name Triticum aestivum (bread wheat). Its description in RNAcentral is "partial small subunit ribosomal RNA". The record is from RNAcentral. Lineage: Eukaryota; Viridiplantae; Streptophyta; Magnoliopsida; Poales; Poaceae.